UCUUCCUUCCUUCCUUCCUUCUUCGUUUCGUUAUCAUGUAUAGUAACGCAACACUUAUACAUUGCGUGACAGAUGUGACAUGAAAUCAACAUGCAUCAUGGGUAGACCUGCUGGGUAGUGUAACCCUCGUGUAUUUUUGGUGUUUUCGAGCAAAUAUCUCUAAAACAAUCUUAGAUUUUUACUAAAAAUACCAAAAUGAAUACAUCAGAUACGUCUAACGAUACUUUCCUUUUCACAUCGGAGUCUGUAGGCGAGGGACAUCCAGAUAAAAUGUGUGACCAGAUAUAACAGAUGCCAUUUUGGAUGCGCAUUUCAAGGAAGAUCCUGAUGUUAAAAAAGCCGCUUGUGAAAGUGUUGCUAAGAUAGGGAUGAUUGCAAUAUUAGGUGAAAUCACAUCCAAAGCUUAUAUUGAUUAUCUGAAGAUAGUCCGCAACACUAUCAAGCAAAUAGGAUACGAUGAUUCUAGAAAAGGUAUGCAUGGCGGCCUCAGAGGGACUCCGGGAUAAAAGUAUCGGGUGUGCUCAUCGGACAUUUUAAAAGGUAAAAUUCAAUGCUGUGUUUCUCAUACAUUUUAAACUUAAUUUCCUUAAAACUUUCGUCAAUUAUAAAGUAUCUUUUCUAGUUUAGAAAAAUACCAAUUAUUGUUAGUUUGUUAUUUUGUACAUGAAAUAUUCGUGCCUUCAAGUAA
Molecule: long non-coding RNA, 688 nt
Organism: Actinia tenebrosa (Australian red waratah sea anemone)
Lineage: Eukaryota; Metazoa; Cnidaria; Anthozoa; Actiniaria; Actiniidae
Source: RefSeq, a predicted model, not a curated record